Molecule: ribosomal RNA, 301 nt
Filed under: uncultured bacterium
Lineage: Bacteria
Description: partial 16S ribosomal RNA
Rfam family: Bacterial small subunit ribosomal RNA
Source: RNAcentral
CAGCAGCCGCGGGAAUACGGAGGGUGCAAGCGUUAAUCGGAAUUACUGGGCGUAAAGCGCACGCAGGCGGUUUGUUAAGUCAGAUGUGAAAUCCCCGAGCUUAACUUGGGAACUGCAUUUGAAACUGGCAAGCUAGAGUCUUGUAGAGGGGGGUAGAAUUCCAGGUGUAGCGGUGAAAUGCGUAGAGAUCUGGAGGAAUACCGGUGGCGAAGGCGGCCCCCCGGACAAAGACUGACGCUCAGGUGCGAAAGCGUGGGGAGCAAACAGGAUUAGAUACCCCUGUAGUCCCUGUCUCUUAUAA